This 440-nucleotide ribosomal RNA is filed under the name uncultured bacterium. RNAcentral's name for it is "partial 16S ribosomal RNA". It matches the Rfam family "Bacterial small subunit ribosomal RNA", at positions 339 to 795 of the family's 1533-position model. The record is from RNAcentral.
CUACGGGUCGCUCCAGUGAGGAAUAUUGCACAAUGGGGGGAACCCUGAUGCAGCAACGCCGCGUGGAGGAUGACGCAUUUCGGUGUGUAAACUCCUUUUAUAUGUCAAGAAAAUGACGGUAGCAUAUGAAUAAGCACCGGCUAACUCCGUGCCAGCAGCCGCGGUAAUGACGGAGGGUGCAAGCGUUACUCGGAAUCACUGGGCGUAAAGGACGCGUAGGCGGGUUGGAAAGUCAGGUGUGAAAUCCUACAGCUUAACUGUAGAACUGCACUUGAAACUUCUAAUCUAGAGUAUGGGAGGGGGAGAUGGAAUUAGUGGUGUAGGGGUAAAAUCCGUAGAUAUCACUAGGAAUACCUAAAGCGAAGGCGAUCUCCUGGAACAUUACUGACGCUAAGGCGUGAAGGCGUGGGGAGCAAACAGGAUUAGAUACCCUAGUAGUC